RNAcentral lists this ribosomal RNA (253 nucleotides) under uncultured bacterium. Its description in RNAcentral is "partial 16S ribosomal RNA". It matches the Rfam family "Bacterial small subunit ribosomal RNA", at positions 524 to 776 of the family's 1533-position model. The record is from RNAcentral.
UACAGAGGGGGCAAGCGUUGUUCGGAAUUACUGGGCGUAAAGGGCGCGUAGGCGGCCUGUUAAGUCGAACGUGAAAUCCCCGGGCUCAACCCGGGAACUGCGUCCGAUACUGGCAGGCUCGAAUCCGGGAGAGGGAUGCGGAAUUCCAGGUGUAGCGGUGAAAUGCGUAGAUAUCUGGAGGAACACCGGUGGCGAAGGCGGCAUCCUGGACCGGCAUUGACGCUCAUGUGCGAAAGCGUGGGGAGCAAACAGG